RNAcentral lists this ribosomal RNA (390 nucleotides) under Triticum aestivum (bread wheat). RNAcentral's name for it is "partial small subunit ribosomal RNA". The record is from RNAcentral. Lineage: Eukaryota; Viridiplantae; Streptophyta; Magnoliopsida; Poales; Poaceae.
CUAGACAUCCUCCGUGACUUUGGUGAAUCCACAUGCCUCCAUAUAAACCCCUCAAAAUCUUCGGCUCUACCAAUUAGAUGUGACAACGUCGACCUCACGGCCGUGCUACAGAAUUUUGGUGGUGCAAUAGGCACUUUCCUAGCCACCUAUCUAGGCCUCCCGAUCACCACUUCUAGAUUAAGAUUAGUGCAUCUGCAAUUCAUCAUAGAUAGACUCAAAUCUAGGCUGGCGGGCUGGAAGGGCGGACUACUAACCAUAGCCAGCAGGAGAAUUCUUGUUAGAUGUGUACUCAGCGCCAUGCCAACAUUGGCACUGACCGUCCCGCGGGUCCCCAAGAAGCUGCUGAGAGACAUCGACAAGUGCAGGAAAAAGUUCAUGUGGAAACAAUAG